Molecule: ribosomal RNA, 464 nt
Filed under: uncultured bacterium
Lineage: Bacteria
Description: partial 16S ribosomal RNA
Rfam family: Bacterial small subunit ribosomal RNA
Source: RNAcentral
CUACGGGACGCACCAGUGGGGAAUAUUGCACAAUGGGCGCAAGCCUGAUGCAGCCAUGCCGCGUGUAUGAAGAAGGCCUUCGGGUUGUAAAGUACUUUCAGCGGGGAGGAAGGGAGUAAAGUUAAUACCUUUGCUCAUUGACGUUACCCGCAGAAGAAGCACCGGCUAACUCCGUGCCAGCAGCCGCGGUAAUACGGAGGGUGCAAGCGUUAAUCGGAAUUACUGGGCGUAAAGCGCACGCAGGCGGUUUGUUAAGUCAGAUGUGAAAUCCCCGGGCUCAACCUGGGAACUGCAUCUGAUACUGGCAAGCUUGAGUCUCGUAGAGGGGGGUAGAAUUCCAGGUGUAGCGGUGAGAUGCGUAGAGAUCUGGAGGAAUACCGGUGGCGAAGGCGGCCCCCUGGACGAAGACUGACGCUCAGGUGCGAAAGCGUGGGGAGCAAACGGGAUUAGAUACCCCUGUAGUC